Molecule: ribosomal RNA, 433 nt
Filed under: uncultured bacterium
Lineage: Bacteria
Description: partial 16S ribosomal RNA
Rfam family: Bacterial small subunit ribosomal RNA
Source: RNAcentral
AACGAACGCUGGCGGCAGGCCUAACACAUGCAAGUCGAGCGGACCCUUCGGGGUUAGCGGCGGACGGGUGAGUAACGCGUGGGAAUAUGCCCUUCUCUACGGAAUAGUCCUGGGAAACUGGGGGUAAUACCGUAUACGCCCUUUGGGGGAAAGAUUUAUCGGGGAAGGAUUAGCCCGCGUUGGAUUAGGUAGUUGGUGGGGUAAUGGCCUACCAAGCCGACGAUCCAUAGCUGGUUUGAGAGGAUGAUCAGCCACACUGGGACUGAGACACGGCCCAGACUCCUACGGGAGGCAGCAGUGGGGAAUCUUAGACAAUGGGGGCAACCCUGAUCUAGCCAUGCUGCGUGAGUGAUGAAGGCCUUAGGGUUGUAAAGCUCUUUCAGCUGGGAAGAUAAUGACGGUACCAGCAGAAGAAGCCCCGGCUAACUCCGUG